UUGAACAGCCCCUUGAUGGCGGAUGGCAUAUGCAUAAAGAAUCUAUUUGGUUCCCAGCUAUUUCCAGGC
RNAcentral lists this small RNA (69 nucleotides) under Drosophila erecta. RNAcentral's name for it is "partial mlncRNA69E2-1a". The record is from RNAcentral. Lineage: Eukaryota; Metazoa; Arthropoda; Insecta; Diptera; Drosophilidae.